CUAUCCUCUGCCUGUGACAUCUGUCACCUCAUUGAUUCAGCUGAUCUGGCCGGCUAAGCAGGUGUCUCCUUCAUCCCUUACUGCUCCAUGUGCAUCCCUUCUGAAGCUGUGCUCACAGUGAAACAGGACAGCCUUCCCUGUCCUUCCCCAACCGAGGAGGGCAGGUCUUUAGUCAAGCGUGUAAGAGUAGCUGAGCUCAACUUUAGAACUUACAAACAAGCUCUCAGGGUCCAUUGAUUUGGCAUUUAAUGAUUCCAGUGAACAGAUAAAUCAGAAAAGACAAGUAUGCAUGAACAUAUAUCUU
Molecule: small nuclear RNA, 304 nt
Filed under: Nannospalax galili (Upper Galilee mountains blind mole rat)
Lineage: Eukaryota; Metazoa; Chordata; Mammalia; Rodentia; Spalacidae
Description: 7SK RNA (ENSNGAG00000008643.1)
Rfam family: 7SK RNA
About the family: 7SK was discovered as an abundant small nuclear RNA in the mid-70s but a possible function has only recently been suggested. Two independent studies have found that 7SK RNA binds the CDK9/cyclin T complex (known as elongation factor P-TEFb).
Source: RNAcentral